Molecule: ribosomal RNA, 427 nt
Filed under: uncultured bacterium
Lineage: Bacteria
Description: partial 16S ribosomal RNA
Rfam family: Bacterial small subunit ribosomal RNA
Source: RNAcentral
UGGGGAAUAUUGGACAAUGGGCGUAAGCCUGAUCCAGCCAUGCCGCGUGUGUGAAGAAGGUCUUCGGAUUGUAAAGCACUUUAAGUUGGGAGGAAGGGCAUUAACCUAAUACGUUAGUGUUUUGACGUUACCGACAGAAUAAGCACCGGCUAACUCUGUGCCAGCAGCCGCGGUAAUACAGAGGGUGCAAGCGUUAAUCGGAAUUACUGGGCGUAAAGCGCGCGUAGGUGGUCUGUUAAGUUGGAUGUGAAAUCCCCGGGCUCAACCUGGGAACUGCAUUCAAAACUGACUGACUAGAGUAUGGUAGAGGGUGGUGGAAUUUCCUGUGUAGCGGUGAAAUGCGUAGAUAUAGGAAGGAACACCAGUGGCGAAGGCGACCACCUGGACUAAUACUGACACUGAGGUGCGAAAGCGUGGGGAGCAAACA